Molecule: unclassified non-coding RNA, 352 nt
Filed under: uncultured Archaeospora
Lineage: Eukaryota; Fungi; Glomeromycota; Glomeromycetes; Archaeosporales; Archaeosporaceae
Description: sequence contains 28S rRNA gene
Source: RNAcentral
AGUAAAACAGUACGUGAAAUUGUUGAAAGGGAAACGAUUGAAGUCAGUCAUGCCGGCGUUGGAUUCAGCUUGCUUCGCGGAGCGGGCGCAUUUCCUCGCAUGGCAGGUCAGCGUCAGUUUUGCGCGGCGUGAAAAGGCUCGGGUAAGGUAGCUCUCUUCGGGGAGUGUUAUAGACCUGGGCAGAUGCGCUGCGCGGGACUGAGGAUUGCAGCGGACACCUCUUCGGGGGCGCGGCGACCGAACCCUGCUCGGCCACCCGAGUUCGAUAGCGUGCUAACGGACGCGGGAGCGGCAGUGCACCGGAACAGGCAAGCCAGCGGUUCGCUUAGGAUGCUGACGUAAUGGCUUUAAA